GCCGGUGUGGCCCAGUGGUGAGCGUCUAGCUGUGAACCAGGAGGUCAGGGUUCGAUUCCCGGUCAAGGGCA
This 71-nucleotide transfer RNA is filed under the name Myotis brandtii (Brandt's bat). It matches the Rfam family "tRNA". Rfam says of the family: Transfer RNA (tRNA) molecules are approximately 80 nucleotides in length. Their secondary structure includes four short double-helical elements and three loops (D, anti-codon, and T loops). Further hydrogen bonds mediate the characteristic L-shaped molecular structure. tRNAs have two regions of fundamental functional importance: the anti-codon, which is responsible for specific mRNA codon recognition, and the 3' end, to which the tRNAs corresponding amino acid is attached (by aminoacyl-tRNA synthetases). tRNAs cope with the degeneracy of the genetic code in two manners: having more than one tRNA (with a specific anti-codon) for a particular amino acid; and 'wobble' base-pairing, i.e. permitting non-standard base-pairing at the 3rd anti-codon position. The record is from Rfam by way of RNAcentral. Lineage: Eukaryota; Metazoa; Chordata; Mammalia; Chiroptera; Vespertilionidae.